Molecule: ribosomal RNA, 468 nt
Filed under: uncultured bacterium
Lineage: Bacteria
Description: partial 16S ribosomal RNA
Rfam family: Bacterial small subunit ribosomal RNA
Source: RNAcentral
GACGAACGCUGGCGGCGUGCUUAACACAUGCAAGUCGAACGGAAAGGCCCUGCUUUUGUGGGGUGCUCGAGUGGCGAACGGGUGAGUAACACGUGAGUAACCUGCUCUUGACUUUGGGAUAACUUCAGGAAACUGGGGCUAAUACCGGAUAGGAGCCCCUGCUCCAUGGUGGGGGUUGGAACGUUUCGGCGGUUGGGGAUGGACUCGCGGCUUAUCAGCUUGUUGGUGGGGUAGUGGCUUACCAAGGCUUUGACCGGUAGCUGGCCUGAGAGGGUGACCAGCCACAUUAGUACUGAGAUACGGCCCAGUCUCCUACGGUAGGCAGCAGUGGGGAAUAUUGCACAAUGGUCGGAAGCCUGAUGCAGCAACGCCGCGUGCGUAAUGACGGCCUUCGGGUUGUAAACCGCUUUCGCCUGAGACGAAGCGUGUGUGACGGUAAUGAGUAAAGAAGCACCGGCUAACUACGUG